Long non-coding RNA from Hemiscyllium ocellatum (epaulette shark), 1622 nucleotides. RefSeq lists it as uncharacterized. The record is from RefSeq and is a predicted model, not a curated record. NCBI's taxonomy places the organism in Eukaryota, Metazoa, Chordata, Chondrichthyes, Orectolobiformes, Hemiscylliidae. The transcript is spliced from 3 exons.
AUUUAAACAGAUAUUCCGACAUCUAACGGAACGGCCUCAUAUCUAAAGGGGGCAAUCUGCAUUUUAAAGGGACGUGGACAUUUUAACAGAUGCGAUCCAUGUCUGCGGGCAGGACACGACUGUCUCCAGGAGAGAGUCUCUCUGGUCACCCCGUCCAUACUCCUUGGAAUGAUUCGGCUCCCUACUCAGUCCACAUCCACUACAUGACCGAAGCAAUGAUACUUGAACUAAGAGGAGGGACAUGUGGGGGAUCGCCUAUCACUUCAUCUUUCUGAUCAUGUACAACAUCCUGAUGGGGAAAGCCACUAAGUAUGGAUGCGACCAGGAAUGAUCAGAGAUUAUCCACCACCCAUGCUGAGGAGAUGUCGUCCAGUGCACCGGAACAGACGCCUUUGACGUGUGGGACGUGAUGAAGAUUGAUUAUUGCAAUGGACUCUUACAUCAGAAAGACCAGAUGGUCCAUCUGGACAGUAGAAAUCAGUGGCAGUUACCAUGUUGUUACCAUUUUUUAAAAUUUUACCUGCAGACACAAGCCUAGUGAGGAUAAAAAUGAUCAACCCCGUUAUUAUGGUAAAUAUUUUAAGGGCGCCCAGGAAUACCAUCCCUUUUUGCAGGACGGGCCGACUCGAGAAAAGAGAAGCCUGAUAGGGGAAACUCCACAAUCCACAAACAACUGAUUUAUACAGGCCCACAGAACGCUCUUCACCCCAGAGGCAGUAGUAUGUUACUCCUCUCUAUCGGGAGAUGACUUACUUGCCCUGUCCCCAGUCCCCGAUUCCAUUCUAUUCGUCAGACUUGCUACUGCCGACCCUGUGAAGAGAAAUAUCACUUUCCAAUAGCUCCGGUCUGUGUAUACAAACAGCUGGUGUAACACUAGCUGGGGUACAGCAGGCCUUAUGUGGCACAUGGAUCUGGAACAGACUGGGUGACAAUACAGGACACCCAAUAGGAUGCAGAAUCCAGAAUACCUUGAGGUUGGAAGGUUCGGCAGGGGUGACAAGUCAAAAGAACCGCAAUUCCCUCUUUUGUGGCCUGACCAUUCGAGAAAAUAAGACUAAAGAGGCUCUGGAACAGAGUAAAGUGGGAUUAUCAGACCUGUGUCUUUACUCUAUGCAGAAUCGGUAUGCCUUAGACUAUAUACUCGCCCGGGAGGGUGAGGUCUGCACCAUUGUCCAAGAUAAAUGCACUAUGGGCAUUCCUGAUCUCACUGGCAAUAUUACUAAGAUACAAGAAGAGAUCUAGGUAUUCCUUGACAGAAUGACUGAAGAGACCAGUUGGGGAAACUGCAGAUUGGGCUCAUGGUACAAUUGGCUUAUCAAUUUAGCCAUGUAUGGUAGAAUACUUUUCCUCUGUUUGUCAGUAUUGCUCUUGUUAGGUGUUUAAUUGUUAAACUUAUGAGGUCCCUUAGUGAUAUAGAUUUGUCCCAGAAGAUGCUCCUUUUGCGUUCCGAUGGCUCACCCACACAUGUCGAUGGUGAUGAUAAAUAUGACCAGAUGAGCUGCGAAGAUGGUGGUGCCGCUCUACAGGAUGUUGAUGGCUGGACCACCUUGAAGGGCAUUCAUUUGGACUAGCCUUCUCUUUCAGUGAUCGCGGUGCAAUCAAAUGCAGGAAUGAGGGUGUGG